RNAcentral lists this long non-coding RNA (243 nucleotides) under Homo sapiens (human). RNAcentral's name for it is "non-protein coding lnc-CCDC190-2:1". Lineage: Eukaryota; Metazoa; Chordata; Mammalia; Primates; Hominidae. The record is from RNAcentral.
AUGUUUCCCUUGGUCAAAAAUUCACUAAGUCAUCUCCAUGUUCCAAGCAUUUGGCAAACAAUGGCAAGGCAGAGCCACCAGAAACGUAUAUCUGAUUUUCAUGAUAAAGACGGUAACGCUGUAUUAGCUAGUGGAGACACUAUCUGUAUUGCUGUAUGGACAUAUGUAGCAACACAAAUCACAAUAAAAGGGAACCUGUCCACUGUUGGCAGAGUCACCCUAAAGAAAUGGAGAGAUCAGUAA